CUACGAGUAAUACGACGGCUCCAUGCAUGCAUGUUUCCUAAAUGAAAGCAUUAUAAUUCAUCUUGGUCAAACAAUGGAAAUUUAGGCUUCCGCAGGAGUCCAAACCUAUCACAAACAUGUUUACGUCAUGUCCCAAACUCUCCUUUUACUAUGCUACCAUUAUUUACAUUAAAAUAAAAAGUUUUAUGCGGAAACAUGUUUGCCUUUGCCUAUUUGAAUUUGAAUAUCAUCAAGGGUAACAACCGAUAAUCCACCUAAAGUGAUCUUGGAAUUACUUUGUGCCUUGUGUUUUCGCUAUAUCUCAAUUUUAUAAUUGGUAUCAGAGCAAUUCCAAGAACUCGUGUAUUUUUUAUUAGAAAUCUUUUACACAAUCUCUUACAGACUUGUUUGAUCCGAAUUACACAACUCGACACGGAUCGAUUUCUAACAUACCCAACUUGCUUGACUCAACACUUGUUGAUCAAGUCUGCCAAUUCACUCAGCUAUGAAACUCCAAAAUCCUUUGUGUUUCUCUCUGAGAAUUACAACGUGAAAACUCUAACCCUAAUCUUAGGUAAAGCCACCAUAUAUAUUAAACCCUUUGUGGUUCUCACCAUAAAGUUUUCAAUUCAAAUAUAAAUGUACGUGUUAUAUCACCAUAAAGUUUUCAAUUCAAAUAUAAAUGUACGUGUAUAAGUAUUAUAUUUAACUUUGGGAUACCCAUCCCAAACUAUUUACUUACUGUAUACAUAUAUUUUAUUACAUUUUUGGAACUUUGCUUAGAUGAUAUGGAUGAGAGUUCGAUAAAAAAAAAAAUGAUAUGGAUGAGAUUACUCUUUUUUUUUUAAUGUGCCAUUUAGGACCUGAGGCAUUUUGCUUUGGCGGUUGGUUAUGGAAUUGAAAAUGGUGUCCCAUAUUGGCUUAUAAAGAACUCAUGGGGAGAGGAUUGGGGCGAAAAGGGUUACUUCAAGGUCGAGAUGGGAAAGAACAUGUGUGGUGUCGCGACACUUGCAGCCUACCCGGUUGUGGCGUGAGAUGAUCAGUAGCAUAUGAAUGCAUGAUGUUCGCAUACAUAUUGGAUUAUAAUUAAAUAAAAGUUGGCACAGUUGGGAGUUCACAGCGUGUUUAUGGUUGUUGUAACAUGUUGUCUGUUUUUUUUUUGACCAAAUAACAUAUUGUCUGUUUAUAUGUACCGAAUAAAGCAAAAACUAUAGAUGACAAAGUUAAUAAUAUAUGAAUCUAUUCUAUUAAAACAGCAGUGUGACCAAUUAAUAAAAAUAGGGUCCAACCAUCUAUUUACUUUAUUUAAAAAAACCUUAUAAUAAAAUACUACCGACGUUAUAUUGUCAAUGCCAAAAACAGUUUCCACUUUUUCUUUGCCUAUAACCAAAACAGUUACGUUUCUUCCUACAAAAAUAAGUUAGAUUAUUGAUUUUUGAUGAACACACAAUUUUUCGGGAUUGAACCCAGUUGCAGAAACCCAAUUCUAUUCUUGGAAUCCCAAUUGAAUAUGCAAAUAAAAGCUCUUUUGCAGAGUUUUUCAAUCCGGCGAUAGUGAUGCGUUAGCUCCUCCAUGGAUGGCCAUGGCCAUUUUAGAUAGAUAGUGGGAUAAAGUGUCCAAUGGUGAAGGCGAUUUGAGAUGUAGUUAGACGCGGAAGAAGAGAAGCAAAUCUAGGUGAAGAUGACUGAAUUUAUCUGUUUAAGGUCUUCUACGGUGGUUCGUAGAGGAUCUUAAUGGUAUCCGUGGAUUAGAAAUUGAUAAUGUUUCGAUUACAGUGGAAAUCGUCACCGGUGAUGCUAAAACGGUGGAUGAACAAAGCCGGCGAAGGAUGCUCAUCGACCUUUCUUCUUGGCAUUCCACGUGUCCUAUACCUGUUGUUUUAUUAACUCAUCUUUAUCUUUUGCGUUUGCAAUUGAAAGUUGGGUUAUUGGACUUAUUUUGUUUGAUGUAGAGAUAUGGGCUUUAUAAACAAAUGCACUUUAUAGAUCUUUGCCCAUUUUUUAUUUUAAUGCAAUUGCCGACAAAAAAAAAAUAAUCUAACAUUCAGUUUAAUCACAAAAUACAUGGAAUCCACUUCGUCAGAAACUGAACCGGAUCACUUUCCAAGUCACCGGAUCAUCCGAUCAACCAUAGGUAAACUACAGAUUAAUAAAUAAAUUAAUUUUAUUAUAUAUUUAAUAUUAGUUAUGAAAAUAAAUAUAUACUAGAUUCUGCUCCGUCCUUAAAUGACAGAUAUAUUUUUUGUUUUAUAUUUUUUUAAAAAUUUAAUUUUUAUAUUUGUGUUUUUAGUCAUAUUUAUGUUAUUUUUUAUAGAAUAUUUCUCUUAAAUAAUUAAUAAGAAAUUUUAAUAAUUGCAUUAAAAUAGUUAAACCAUAACUAUAUCAAUAGGUCAUGUUGUUGUUUUUAAAAAGUGAGAUUCUAUUUUUUUUAUAAAACAUAAAAUAAUAAUUUGGAUAUCUAUGUAUUGUAUGUUUAAAAACAUUUAGUAAAUAAUUAAUUUUAGUUUUUAUAUAUUUAUUUUCAUUUGACAUAUAAAAUAUCAAAAAUAGUUUAGAUUAUUUAAAAAAAAUUACAACAAGUUAAGAUUUAUGACAUCUAACAAAAAAUAUCAAAACUUAAAUAUUCAUAAAUAUUUGUAUGUCUAUUAUGAAUAACAAAACUAAACUUCAAAUCGAAAAUAAACAAAAAUAAAACAUAAUUAAUAAAAUUAUCGAUAACAAAACUAAAAAAACCUAAUUUCUUAAUUAAAAAGCAUACAAAGCAGAUUUAAAAAUAUAACUAGAUAUUGACCCGCCCUCGAGAGGGCGGGUAUAUUUUUUGUUUUUAAAAUUUUUAUCUAAUAUAAUUUAUAUGUUUGUGUGUUUGUAUAAUCAUAUUUUGUAUGAUAUGAAUUUUGAAAAAUAGAUAAUUUUUGUAAGUAUAUUAAAUAAAUCAAGUUUCAUAAGUAUGUACUUGUGUCUUUCUUUGUAUCAUAUAUGUAUUUUUUGUAAUCAUAUUUGUGUUUUUAUCUGUGAUAAUAUUUGCGUAAUUUUUUUUAAAGUAUUUUGAUAAUUGUAUUGAAUUUAUUAUAUUUUUAAACUAUAUAUUUGUACCCUAGCCUUUUAACACAUUAAUAUGGUACUUUAUUUUCAAUUCAAACAGUAUUUUUUUUUAAAAAAAAAUAACAAAGUAUUGUUACAAUUUUGUUUAGUAAUAAAACAGUAAUUAAAUAAAUAGAUUAAAUAAAAAAAUGUUUUUCAUAAAAUUGGAAUUAUUUAUAUUCUUAUAUAAUUAUAAUCACAUUAUUAUUACACAUAAUAUUACACAUAAUAAUUUGAAUAGCAAUUAAAAAUGGGUUAUGCAAAUCAAAGUCCAUGGCCCAAUUUUAAUGGGUUUCGUAAAAAUUUAAUUUUACAUUUUUUUUACACUUUUUUUGUUUUACAUUUUUUGUUUUACAUUUUUUGUACGGGUAUAUUUUUGUUUUACAUUUUUUUUAGAAAUUUAAUUUUCAUUUUUGUGUUUCUAUUUGUAAUUAUAUUUGUGUUUUUCUUUGCAAUAUUUGUGUAUAAUCUUAAUUAUAAUCUGUUUCAUAAAACAAAAUUGCAAUUUAAAGUGCCCAUAGAAAUACACACUGCAAGCGUUGAACAAUAUGUGUGGUCAGUGUUUUGAAAUUCGAUCCGGAUCUGCGGUUGAACUGGUACCCAGUGACCUAAAAUAAAUUCGGUUUGGAUUUUGUAAAAAGAAACAAUAUUUAAAAAACUAACAAAACCCGUAAAAAACCCAGAAUCCGGUUAUCGGUUGAACCACUGGUUAAAAUAAUUGAUAACUUUUAAUUCUUUUUAUAAUUUUAAUUAUAUUUUUAAAUCUGCUUUGUAUGCUUUUUAAUUAAGAAAUUAGGUUUUUUUAGUUUUGUUAUCGAUAAUUUUAUUAAUUAUGUUUUAUUUUUGUUUAUUUUCGAUUUGAAGUUUAGUUUUGUUAUUCAUAAUAGACAUACAAAUAUUUAUGAAUAUUUAAGUUUUGAUAUUUUUUGUUAGAUGUCAUAAAUCUUAACUUGUUGUAAUUUUUUUUAAAUAAUCUAAACUAUUUUUGAUAUUUUAUAUGUCAAAUGAAAAUAAAUAUAUAAAAACUAAAAUUAAUUAUUUACUAAAUGUUUUUAAACAUACAAUACAUAGAUAUCCAAAUUAUUAUUUUAUGUUUUAUAAAAAAAAUAGAAUCUCACUUUUUAAAAACAACAACAUGACCUAUUGAUAUAGUUAUGGUUUAACUAUUUUAAUGCAAUUAUUAAAAUUUCUUAUUAAUUAUUUAAGAGAAAUAUUCUAUAAAAAAUAACAUAAAUAUGACUAAAAACACAAAUAUAAAAAUUAAAUUUUUAAAAAAAUAUAAAACAAAAAAUAUAUCUGUCAUUUAAGGACGGAGCAGAAUCUAGUAUAUAUUUAUUUUCAUAACUAAUAUUAAAUAUAUAAUAAAAUUAAUUUAUUUAUUAAUCUGUAGUUUACCUAUGGUUGAUCGGAUGAUCCGGUGACUUGGAAAGUGAUCCGGUUCAGUUUCUGACGAAGUGGAUUCCAUGUAUUUUGUGAUUAAACUGAAUGUUAGAUUAUUUUUUUUUUUGUCGGCAAUUGCAUUAAAAUAAAAAAUGGGCAAAGAUCUAUAAAGUGCAUUUGUUUAUAAAGCCCAUAUCUCUACAUCAAACAAAAUAAGUCCAAUAACCCAACUUUCAAUUGCAAACGCAAAAGAUAAAGAUGAGUUAAUAAAACAACAGGUAUAGGACACGUGGAAUGCCAAGAAGAAAGGUCGAUGAGCAUCCUUCGCCGGCUUUGUUCAUCCACCGUUUUAGCAUCACCGGUGACGAUUUCCACUGUAAUCGAAACAUUAUCAAUUUCUAAUCCACGGAUACCAUUAAGAUCCUCUACGAACCACCGUAGAAGACCUUAAACAGAUAAAUUCAGUCAUCUUCACCUAGAUUUGCUUCUCUUCUUCCGCGUCUAACUACAUCUCAAAUCGCCUUCACCAUUGGACACUUUAUCCCACUAUCUAUCUAAAAUGGCCAUGGCCAUCCAUGAAGGAGCUAACGCAUCACUAUCGCCGGAUUGAAAAACUCUGCAAAAGAGCUUUUAUUUGCAUAUUCAAUUGGGAUUCCAAGAAUAGAAUUGGGUUUCUGCAACUGGGUUCAAUCCCGAAAAAUUGUGUGUUCAUCAAAAAUCAAUAAUCUAACUUAUUUUUGUAGGAAGAAACGUAACUGUUUUGGUUAUAGGCAAAGAAAAAGUGGAAACUGUUUUUGGCAUUGACAAUAUAACGUCGGUAGUAUUUUAUUAUAAGGUUUUUUUAAAUAAAGUAAAUAGAUGGUUGGACCCUAUUUUUAUUAAUUGGUCACACUGCUGUUUUAAUAGAAUAGAUUAAAAUUAUAAAAAGAAUUAAAAGUUAUCAAUUAUUUUAACCAGUGGUUCAACCGAUAACCGGAUUCUGGGUUUUUUACGGGUUUUGUUAGUUUUUUAAAUAUUGUUUCUUUUUACAAAAUCCAAACCGAAUUUAUUUUAGGUCACUGGGUACCAGUUCAACCGCAGAUCCGGAUCGAAUUUCAAAACACUGACCACACAUAUUGUUCAACGCUUGCAGUGUGUAUUUCUAUGGGCACUUUAAAUUGCAAUUUUGUUUUAUGAAACAGAUUAUAAUUAAGAUUAUACACAAAUAUUGCAAAGAAAAACACAAAUAUAAUUACAAAUAGAAACACAAAAAUGAAAAUUAAAUUUCUAAAAAAAAUGUAAAACAAAAAUAUACCCGUACAAAAAAUGUAAAACAAAAAAUGUAAAACAAAAAAAGUGUAAAAAAAAUGUAAAAUUAAAUUUUUACGAAACCCAUUAAAAUUGGGCCAUGGACUUUGAUUUGCAUAACCCAUUUUUAAUUGCUAUUCAAAUUAUUAUGUGUAAUAUUAUGUGUAAUAAUAAUGUGAUUAUAAUUAUAUAAGAAUAUAAAUAAUUCCAAUUUUAUGAAAAACAUUUUUUUAUUUAAUCUAUUUAUUUAAUUACUGUUUUAUUACUAAACAAAAUUGUAACAAUACUUUGUUAUUUUUUUUUUAAAAAAAAUACUGUUUGAAUUGAAAAUAAAGUACCAUAUUAAUGUGUUAAAAGGCUAGGGUACAAAUAUAUAGUUUAAAAAUAUAAUAAAUUCAAUACAAUUAUCAAAAUACUUUAAAAAAAAUUACGCAAAUAUUAUCACAGAUAAAAA
Long non-coding RNA from Brassica rapa (field mustard), 6181 nucleotides. RefSeq lists it as uncharacterized. NCBI's taxonomy places the organism in Eukaryota, Viridiplantae, Streptophyta, Magnoliopsida, Brassicales, Brassicaceae. The record is from RefSeq and is a predicted model, not a curated record.